Molecule: ribosomal RNA, 1372 nt
Filed under: uncultured bacterium
Lineage: Bacteria
Description: bacterial SSU rRNA
Rfam family: Bacterial small subunit ribosomal RNA
Source: RNAcentral
GAUGAACGCUGGCGGCGUGCCUAAUACAUGCAAGUCGAGCGAACGGACGAGAAGCUUGCUUUUCUGAUGUUAGCGGCGGACGGGUGAGUAACACGUGGAUAACCUACCUAUAAGACUGGGAUAACUUCGGGAAACCGGAGUUAAUACCGGAUAAUAUUUUGAACCGCAUGGUUCAAAAGUGAAAGACGGUCUUGCUGUCACUUAUAGAUGGAUCCGCGCUGCAUUAGCUAGUUGGUAAGGUAACGGCUUACCAAGGCAACGAUGCAUAGCCGACCUGAGAGGGUGAUCGGCCACACUGGAACUGAGACACGGUCCAGACUCCUACGGGAGGCAGCAGUAGGGAAUCUUCCGCAAUGGGCGAAAGCCUGACGGAGCAACGCCGCGUGAGUGAUGAAGGUCUUCGGAUCGUAAAACUCUGUUAUUAGGGAAGAACAUAUGUGUAAGUAACUGUGCACAUCUUGACGGUACCUAAUCAGAAAGCCACGGCUAACUACGUGCCAGCAGCCGCGGUAAUACGUAGGUGGCAAGCGUUAUCCGGAAUUAUUGGGCGUAAAGCGCGCGUAGGCGGUUUUUUAAGUCUGAUGUGAAAGCCCACGGCUCAACCGUGGAGGGUCAUUGGAAACUGGAAAACUUGAGUGCAGAAGAGGAAAGUGGAAUUCCAUGUGUAGCGGUGAAAUGCGCAGAGAUGUGGAGGAACACCAGUGGCGAAGGCGACUUUCUGGUCUGUAACUGACGCUGAUGUGCGAAAGCGUGGGGAUCAAACAGGAUUAGAUACCCUGGUAGUCCACGCCGUAAACGAUGAGUGCUAAGUGUUAGGGGGUUUCCGCCCCUUAGUGCUGCAGCUAACGCAUUAAGCACUCCGCCUGGGGAGUACGACCGCAAGGUUGAAACUCAAAGGAAUUGACGGGGGCCCGCACAAGCGGUGGAGCAUGUGGUUUAAUUCGAAGCAACGCGAAGAACCUUACCAAAUCUUGACAUCCUUUGACAACUCUAGAGAUAGAGCCUUCCCCUUCGGGGGACAAAGUGACAGGUGGUGCAUGGUUGUCGUCAGCUCGUGUCGUGAGAUGUUGGGUUAAGUCCCGCAACGAGCGCAACCCUUAAGCUUAGUUGCCAUCAUUAAGUUGGGCACUCUAAGUUGACUGCCGGUGACAAACCGGAGGAAGGUGGGGAUGACGUCAAAUCAUCAUGCCCCUUAUGAUUUGGGCUACACACGUGCUACAAUGGACAAUACAAAGGGCAGCGAAACCGCGAGGUCAAGCAAAUCCCAUAAAGUUGUUCUCAGUUCGGAUUGUAGUCUGCAACUCGACUACAUGAAGCUGGAAUCGCUAGUAAUCGUAGAUCAGCAUGCUACGGUGAAUACGUUCCCGGGUCU